ACUCUCCUUAGAUUUUUCAAAGCUUGCCGCCAUUUUGCUGGAAACAGAGUGCGAAUAUCCCCACAUUGUUUCACUUUGACAUAUUCUAAUCUUUGUAAGAAGUCCUUUUGCGACCCAUGGCCAUGGGUGGUCAUCUGAUCAGAGGACAAUACUAUAUUUUCUAAACCCUCAAUGUUGCUAAAAUCAAUUAGAGACACAGUAGGAAACAACUGCUCAAAUGUCUUCGCAUUUAAGGAUGUCGCGCUGAUUCCACCCAAAUAUAAUCUUGUCGAGAUUGGGUAUGCUGUUAUUGAAUACCCAUUCCCUAACACUAUAUCAUAUUUGAGCAACCUGGGAAAAACAAAAUCUCUGGGAAUGCAUUCAACCUUCGGUAUCGUCAAUGAUAAU
This is a long non-coding RNA of Populus trichocarpa (black cottonwood), 387 nucleotides long. RefSeq lists it as uncharacterized. Lineage: Eukaryota; Viridiplantae; Streptophyta; Magnoliopsida; Malpighiales; Salicaceae. The record is from RefSeq and is a predicted model, not a curated record. The transcript has 3 exons.